Molecule: ribosomal RNA, 1372 nt
Filed under: uncultured bacterium
Lineage: Bacteria
Description: bacterial SSU rRNA
Rfam family: Bacterial small subunit ribosomal RNA
Source: RNAcentral
GAUGAACGCUGGCGGCGUGCCUAAUACAUGCAAGUCGAGCGAACGGACGAGAAGCUUGCUUCUCUGAUGUUAGCGGCGGACGGGUGAGUAACACGUGGAUAACCUACCUAUAAGACUGGGAUAACUUCGGGAAACCGGAGCUAAUACCGGAUAAUAUUUUGAACCGCAUGGUUCAAAAGUGAAAGACGGUCUUGCUGUCACUUAUAGAUGGAUCCGCGCUGCAUUAGCUAGUUGGUAAGGUAACGGCUUACCAAGGCAACGAUGCAUAGCCGACCUGAGAGGGUGAUCGGCCACACUGGAACUGAGACACGGUCCAGACUCCUACGGGAGGCAGCAGUAGGGAAUCUUCCGCAAUGGGCGAAAGCCUGACGGAGCAACGCCGCGUGAGUGAUGAAGGUCUUCGGAUCGUAAAACUCUGUUAUUAGGGAAGAACAUAUGUGUAAGUAACUGUGCACAUCUUGACGGUACCUAAUCAGAAAGCCACGGCUAACUACGUGCCAGCAGCCGCGGUAAUACGUAGGUGGCGAGCGUUAUCCGGAAUUAUUGGGCGUAAAGCGCGCGUAGGCGGUUUUUUAAGUCUGAUGUGAAAGCCCACGGCUCAACCGUGGAGGGUCAUUGGAAACUGGAAAACUUGAGUGCAGAAGAGGAAAGUGGAAUUCCAUGUGUAGCGGUGAAAUGCGCAGAGAUAUGGAGGAACACCAGUGGCGAAGGCGACUUUCUGGUCUGUAACUGACGCUGAUGUGCGAAAGCGUGGGGAUCAAACAGGAUUAGAUACCCUGGUAGUCCACGCCGUAAACGAUGAGUGCUAAGUGUUAGGGGGUUUCCGCCCCUUAGUGCUGCAGCUAACGCAUUAAGCACUCCGCCUGGGGAGUACGACCGCAAGGUUGAAACUCAAAGGAAUUGACGGGGACCCGCACAAGCGGUGGAGCAUGUGGUUUAAUUCGAAGCAACGCGAAGAACCUUACCAAAUCUUGACAUCCUUUGACAACUCUAGAGAUAGAGCCUUCCCCUUCGGGGGACAAAGUGACAGGUGGUGCAUGGUUGUCGUCAGCUCGUGUCGUGAGAUGUUGGGUUAAGUCCCGCAACGAGCGCAACCCUUAAGCUUAGUUGCCAUCAUUAAGUUGGGCACUCUAAGUUGACUGCCGGUGACAAACCGGAGGAAGGUGGGGAUGACGUCAAAUCAUCAUGCCCCUUAUGAUUUGGGCUACACACGUGCUACAAUGGACAAUACGAAGGGCAGCGAAACCGCGAGGUCAAGCAAAUCCCAUAAAGUUGUUCUCAGUUCGGAUUGUAGUCUGCAACUCGACUACAUGAAGCUGGAAUCGCUAGUAAUCGUAGAUCAGCAUGCUACGGUGAAUACGUUCCCGGGUCU